GUGGGGCAGGGGAAGGGCCACUAAGGCAGUGGGGCCAUCUUCCCAGAGCCAGCCAUUGGCCUCGUCUGCCCAAAGGGCAGGUACCAGGAGAGAGUGGGGCCUCAGGGAUAGCUAAGAAAAUAGGGAGCAGCAGCAUCUGCGUCCCAGGCCCUGCACUUUCCCUGUUCCUGCUCCUGCUGCUGCCACCUCCAUUGCUGAGCACAGGGAGCUUCCUGCACCACCUCCCAGGCUGGAGAAACUCCCACCAGGGCACCAGGUACUACAGGAGCAAGACAGAGAAGGUGAAAACCUGCGAGGGUGCCUUUGAUCUCUACUUUAUCCUGGACACGUCAGAGAGCGUGAACAACAAUUGGAAG
Lutra lutra (Eurasian river otter) is the source of this 356-nucleotide long non-coding RNA. RefSeq lists it as uncharacterized. The transcript is spliced from 3 exons. NCBI's taxonomy places the organism in Eukaryota, Metazoa, Chordata, Mammalia, Carnivora, Mustelidae. The record is from RefSeq and is a predicted model, not a curated record.